Molecule: long non-coding RNA, 1187 nt
Organism: Nicotiana tabacum (common tobacco)
Lineage: Eukaryota; Viridiplantae; Streptophyta; Magnoliopsida; Solanales; Solanaceae
Source: RefSeq, a predicted model, not a curated record
AACACAACACGCAAGCAGCAAGUCUUCUUCUCACCAAAGUGUGCGACUGCCUUUGCCAUCCCAAUUCGGCAAGGGGCUGGUAUCUCCCAUCAGCUGCGACGAUAUUCUUUGACGCUGGCUUUGGGAUUUCAGACAAGAAUUCUGUGACUGCUCCCGCCACCGUUUAACAGGUGUAGAAAGGUAAAAGAAUGAGUAAACCACGUAGUGCACAUGCUGAAUAUUGAUUGGAUGAGGACACGUCGAUCCUCAACCAUAUCCUACAUGAGGAUGCAAGGAAGUGCGGGUUCAAUGGUUCGACCCUAAGUGCUCCACGAUUGAAGAAAGUUAUAUGAAUUUUGGAUGAAAUCUAGCAAGAAAGACACUUAUGACGAACAUCGCAUUAAGUCCAAACAACAAAGGUUAAGGACAUACACGAAAAACUUUAGGAACCUCCUUAAUUCUUGCUCCGGCUAUGGUUGGGAUCCUGAAAAUAACACACUUACUUGCCCAGCUGAUAUUUGGCAAAAACAUGUGCUGAUAAUGAAAGAAAAAAUAAAUCUAUAAAUACAGAUAAAGGGGCUUGAACACUUUGACUUGUUAGAAGAGAUAUUUGGAAAUUCAUUUGCCACGGGAAGCCAUGUCGUCUACAGUACAACACCUGUUUCCCCUCGAUGAUCAGAUGAAGCUACUGCAGUGGAUAAUGAACCCUUUUCUUGUGACAACUAUCCUGUUGGUACUGGGCCUGUGAAUAUGUACAAGUACUGGUACUAGCAGUGGGAAGCAGACUAUGGCAGAUACAUCUUUGGCGACUGAUGGUGGAACAUAUACACGCCAUAAAAAAGGUGGUGACUUAUCAUAUUAUAACCAGAAGUAUUUUAUUGAGCAUUUGAAGUGGAAGAGAGACCGGAAGGAAGCAAAAUAAAAACGAGGAGGAACGGGCACAAGCAUCGAUACCUCAUGAGAUUGAUGUCUACUCUGAGCAAGUCGUGAUUACCCAGCUGCAAUUCAUCAUGGAAAAGUACUAUAUUGAUGAUAAGCAAAUAUCUCUAGCUGUACCUCUUUUGCUUGACCCCAGCUUUCGUAAGAUGUUCGUCCAUAUGGCCGAGAAGUUUCAAGCUCAAUGGGUUAAGGACUUGCAGUAAAUUUGAGCAACCGUGAUUGUAAUUUGUUAUAUUGUACUCUAAUGUGAUGAAACACUUAAACUUUAA